UACAGAGGGGGCAAGCGUUGUUCGGAAUUACUGGGCGUAAAGGGCGCGUAGGCGGCCUGUUAAGUCGGACGUGAAAUCCCCAGGCUCAACCUGGGAACUGCGUCCGAUACUGGCAGGCUUGAAUCCGGGAGAGGGAUGUGGAAUUCCAGGUGUAGCGGUGAAAUGCGUAGAUAUCUGGAGGAACACCGGUGGCGAAGGCGGCAUCCUGGACCGGUAUUGACGCUGAGGCGCGAAAGCUAGGGGAGCAAACGGG
RNAcentral lists this ribosomal RNA (253 nucleotides) under uncultured bacterium. Its description in RNAcentral is "partial 16S ribosomal RNA". It matches the Rfam family "Bacterial small subunit ribosomal RNA", at positions 524 to 776 of the family's 1533-position model. The record is from RNAcentral.